GAGCUGGGUUCAGAACGUCGUGAGACAGUUCGGUCCUUAUCCACUGUGGGCGUAGGAAACUUGAGGGGUUCAUUCUUUAGUACGAGAGGACCGAGAAUGACGCACUUCUGGUGUGGCAGUUGUUCCGUCAGGGGCAGCGCUGCGUAGCCAAGUGCGGAAGAGAUAAGCGCUGAAAGCAUCUAAGUGCCAAGCUCCUCCCAAGAUAAGGUUUCCCGGACGCAAGUCCCUUAAGACCCCCGGCAGACUACCGGGUUGAUAGGUCAGGCGUGUAAGCGUGGUAACAUGUUUAGCGGACUGAUACUAAUCGGUCGUGAGGCUUGAU
This 322-nucleotide ribosomal RNA is filed under the name Astrosyne radiata. Its description in RNAcentral is "partial Bacterial large subunit ribosomal RNA". It matches the Rfam family "Bacterial large subunit ribosomal RNA", at positions 2602 to 2925 of the family's 2925-position model. The record is from RNAcentral. Lineage: Eukaryota; Bacillariophyta; Fragilariophyceae; Cyclophorales; Cyclophoraceae.